Molecule: non-coding RNA, 815 nt
Organism: Lonchura striata (white-rumped munia)
Lineage: Eukaryota; Metazoa; Chordata; Aves; Passeriformes; Estrildidae
Source: RefSeq, a predicted model, not a curated record
UCAUCCCUAUUUAUCAAAGUCCAGGAAAAGAGAUUUCUGUCUCGAGUAAUUUCUCAAUGGGAUAUAAAGGCAGCCUUUGACAAAACAGGAGAAAAAAAAUCUCUUAAUACCAUUUAAUUUCCUUUAGCCAAAGCAACCAAAAUACUUUCAGACUACAGAAGCUACCAAUUAUGUAACAUUGUUACCAAAAAAAGUCCAUAUUUUCCAGGAGUCUGGAGUUGAAUCUGCCCCUGUAAUCAGAGCAAAGUGUUGCUUGGUUGUAAACAAACACAUCUCUACUCAGGAGUGUUCCUCAGAUACCCAGAGUUACACACCAUCAGUGGAACAUUAGAGGAACAUCUUUUUUGGCCUUAUUUGGAGCAGAUCAUUCCCAUGGAAUAGGUAGCCCAAGGCUUCCUGCUGCUACUGAACCAUCUGGGUUUUCUUCAAAGAAAAGAAGGAACAAAGGAUGUGGUCCCUGAUAGCUGUCCCAGGGACUGGCACGUUGCCCCAGCUGGUGGGGCAGGUACAGGAGUGACAAGACAUUCAGCUCAGUUCAGCUGCAGAUGAAAGCUGUAGCUUUCCAUGGAAACCACUGGAUUUAUUCUCUACCUUUGGCUACAGGCAAUUGCUUUGCCUCAUGCAAUUAUGUGUGGUAAUUAGAAUUAGAUUGUGUAAGGAAUAGCAAAAAAACAUGAGUACGUCCUUUGUGUUUGUGGCCUGCUCUUGUAAGAGUGAUUAUGAUUUUUUUAAGUUUCUUUUUUUUUAGCCUGACCUAAGCCUUUCUGUUUGGUUGAUCAAGCAUAAGAAGGGAAAAUAAAAGUAUAUUUUCAGCA